CCUACGUUUUCACUUUUCAGCACAAUUUAACAUCUCUCCCCCUCCCAAAUCAAUUUCCCUCACUACAACCCUUUAUCGAUUUUGUCUCUCAUUUGCAUUUGCGCUUAAGAACUUCUGAGGUACAGUCGUCUCUACUUCGUCGUGGUAUGUAUCAUUGACUUCUUUGCCCAAUUGCACCACAUCACCAAUGACUGGUUGAUUCUGUGUUGGCUAAACCAUAUGAAACAGAAAAAGGAUACGGAAACCCUAGCCCUAGCCUGGGCUGCAAAAUUUGCCACAACAGCUGGUGUGGCUGAUGAUCACAAUAACAAAGUGGAUUAAUUAGCAUAUAUGAUUUUCGAUGUCAACAAUAACAGGUCAAAUAGGUACUCUCUGUCGACUAUCCAAGACCAGAGCUUGACAACACAUCUGAUUUCUUUGAGGCUACUUACUUGUCUUCAGCCUUCCGAACUUCCCCAAUUUCAUCUAAGCUAUUAAACAUUGUAUUUGCUGGUGCAGGUUGAGCUACAAGAUGCUAAAGUGGGUUGUGACUUAGUAUAUGUGAAUCUUUGGCCAAUAUUCAGUUGAAGUGCUGUCAUUGGAAUCUUUUGUAUAUGGCAAUAGUAAUAGAGGAAGAUGGCAUGGAUUCUAUGGCUCAUAGAUUACUUUAUGCAACAGUAAAGGUAAGUUUUCUUCUCAUUGCCCUAAUGUAACUAUUAGUACAAACAUCAAACAUGAAUAACAAAUGUUGGAAAUUCUUUUACAAUUAUCCAAAUGAGUGGUGUUUGAAGUGAUCUGUGGUAUAAUUGUUGCCCAUAACUGCACCAUGAUGGGAGUUACGCCUAUGGGUGCUAAACGGGUUAGGUUCGCGGGUUGGCGGGUUUAAUUCGACCUGAACCCGAAAAUUUUAGAUGAACCCGAACCUGACCCGAACCCGAAAAUCUUGUCAUAUAUAUGAACUCGAACACGACCCGAAUAUUAGUGGGUUGACCCGAACAUGACCCGUACAACCCGAAUUUUCAAAUUUUUUAUUUUUUUCGCAAAUUAAUAUAUUAAGAUUAAAAUUUUAUUAAAAAAACACAAAUGUUUAUAGUAAAAAUGCUUUUUAAAUAUAAAACUUAAUGUCAAACUCGUCUUUUUAAGUUAUAAAAAUGCAUUAAAUACACAUUCAAAUAAAUUUAUGACAUAAAAUAUAUUGUAAAAAAACAAAAUAUAAUAUAAAUGGGUUAAACGGGUCAACCCGUCAACCCAACCGGGUGACUCGAACCCGACCCAUUUAGCCAAACGGUUUAGCAAGUUUAAGAGCUUGAGUGAGCUGAUGAUGAAGCUCUUCCAUCCUCCUCUUGUUCUCCUCCAUCCUUCGCUUAUGGAGCUCGUCAUAGCUUUCGUUUGAGAGCACCAUUCUUGCUUCUCUCUUUGAUGGAGAAAAUGGAGGGUUUUACGAGAUUUUGAUUAGGGGUUUUCUCAGAGUUGACCGUUGGAUUUAUGUAAAUUUAAGCACAUAACAAUUGAUUUAUUUGAACUACUGGAAUUCUGCCCUAUCGGUGUUACUCAAAAUAUUAACCGGACCCAAAACACAAAGUCUAUCAACAGAUGUUUUAGAUCGAUCGUAUACUAUAAAAGCAAAUGUCAUUAAUAGUUCCAAUAUUAUCGAUACAUGUAUUCUUAGAGUUGAUUUACAUUCUGAUGGUUGCAAAUAAUAUUAAAGAAACCCAAACACUAGGUGUUCGCAGUGAUUUAGCAAAUUCUAUAGAAAAGGAAAGAAAAAGAAAAAGAAAAAGAAAAAGAAAUCAAUGGAUAUCAGCGAGAUAUGGAUGCAGAGUAUAUGCCUGGUUUUAAUGUUGAUGUUGAGCAAGAUUAUCAAGAAACUGCUACAAAAAUCUCUAAAAAGGUUGGAGAUGAAGUUUUCCUCAAAAGCAUUCUAAACUCUACCAAGACUCUAGCAAGAGGAAGGGUCGAGAGCUUGGACCCAAAUGAUCUAGUUGGUGGUAUAGAUUGGAUCAGAAUGGUGUGAGGUAAACGUUCAAGUACCAAUAAAAAAAGAUGAAAACUUGGUAAGACCAUACGAUUUAUUUUCUACAAUUUUUAAGAUUGUAUUGGUGCAUCCAUCGCAUGGCCCUAUCCAUUCAUCUCGGUAUGUAUUUGUUAAAUUUGUGAUACAAAUAAUUUUAAUAUCAUGGAACGUAAUGCUUAUACAUGGAUGGUUUAUUUGUAGGUAGUCCAUGAGUAUUGAGGACGCAUGAUGACUCAAGAUUUUAUGCUUCUUAUUCUUUAAUUGAUUUUAAUUUCUUUGCUAAAUGUUAAGACUUUAUGUUAGAUAAUGUUAUAACUUAUUUAUGGGUAGUGUUUUUGUGAUGAACGUGGUUAUUUGAAAUAUAAUGAAGUUUUAUUUCUUUCA
Molecule: long non-coding RNA, 2377 nt
Organism: Helianthus annuus (common sunflower)
Lineage: Eukaryota; Viridiplantae; Streptophyta; Magnoliopsida; Asterales; Asteraceae
Exons: 7
Source: RefSeq, a predicted model, not a curated record